RNAcentral lists this ribosomal RNA (406 nucleotides) under uncultured bacterium. RNAcentral's name for it is "partial 16S ribosomal RNA". It matches the Rfam family "Bacterial small subunit ribosomal RNA", at positions 29 to 526 of the family's 1533-position model. The record is from RNAcentral.
AUUGAACGCUGGCGGCAGGCCUAAUACAUGCAAGUCGAACGACUGGCGGACGGGUGAGUCAUGUCUGGGAACCUGCCUGACGGAGGGGGAUAACUACUGGAACAGGUAGCUCCUACCGCAUACCCUCGGAUGGGGCCAGAGGGGCUUAGCUAGUGGGUGGGGUAAAGGAUCACCUAGGCGACGAUCCCUAGCUGGUCGGAGAGGAUGACCAGCCACACUGGAACUGAGACACGGGCCAGACGCCUACGGGAGGCAGCAGUUGGGAAUAUUGGGCAAUGGACGCAAGCCUGAUGCAGCCAUGCCGCGUGAAUGAAGAAGGCCUUCGGUUUGUAAAGUACUUUCGUCGGGGAGGCGUUACCCGCACAGGAAGCACCGGCUAACUCCGUGCCAGCCGCCGCGGUAAUAC